UACGUAGGGGGCAAGCGUUGUCCGGAAUCAUUGGGCGUAAAGCGCGUGUAGGCGGCUGAGUAAGUCUGCUCUGAAAGCCCGGGGCUCAACCCCCGGGAGGCGGGUGGAUACUGCUCAGCUCGAGUCCGGAAGAGGAGUGUGGAAUUCCUGGUGUAGCGGUGAAAUGCGUAGAUAUCGGAAGGAACACCUGUGGCGAAAGCGGCUCACUGGACCAUUACUGACGCUGAGGCACGAAAGCUAGGGGAGCAAACAGG
This 254-nucleotide ribosomal RNA is filed under the name uncultured bacterium. Its description in RNAcentral is "partial 16S ribosomal RNA". It matches the Rfam family "Bacterial small subunit ribosomal RNA", at positions 524 to 776 of the family's 1533-position model. The record is from RNAcentral.